RNAcentral lists this unclassified non-coding RNA (1286 nucleotides) under Hevea brasiliensis (rubber tree). The record is from RNAcentral. Lineage: Eukaryota; Viridiplantae; Streptophyta; Magnoliopsida; Malpighiales; Euphorbiaceae.
AAAAAGAUAGUAAGUUCAAUAGUCAAAACUACACCUCAAUUAUAGAUAGAAUACAAUAAUUUCCAUAACAACUGAUUUUUGAAGAUGAUUAUUACUAUUAAAUUCUAUUCUGGUUUUCUCUAAUUAUUCAGCACCAGUUUGUUCAAUACAAACUUCUAGACACUGCUUUGAAGGCCAAUGAAUUAUGAUAAUGUGCAAACAUUAGUCUACAUGCACAUUUUUAUUCUUUAACUCACCAUUGCAUCCAGGUUUAGAAAGGAAGAAAAUAAAUAAUCAGAUGGUGAAAAUACCAUAAAACAUGUGUGCAACAGUGCAUGCAUGAUAAAUUAUUAGAAACAAAGUUCCAAGUUAAAAUCCUAAGGCAAUUUAUCAUCCAUCAAUGCUCAAUAAGCUGAAGAUAAAGAUGCAGAAAACAAGAAAAGCACACUUACUUCAUGCUCUCAAGCUUGCAAUUUUUGCUAAAGAUUAGAAAUUUAACAUUUGAAAGAAAAGACAAAUCAAUAUGCCAGCAAAAAUCUACAAAUUUCCAUUUACACCAGCAAAACUAACAAACCCUCACCUUCAGUAGUGAGCUUUCAUACUUGACUCCUAAAUAAAUUAAAGCUAAAUUUCUUUUAGUAAUCAAGAACCAACCAAAUCAAUCAAAAUUACAAUCUCACAUCACCAUUAUCUGAUGAAAAAUCUUAAUUCAAAACACAGCUUAUAAAAUCAAUUUGACAACAAGACAUUCAAUUCACAACACACAAACCACAACCAUUAGCUCCAAAACCCCACAAAGUCCACAAUUUAUAGCUUGAAUUUGAUGACCCUGCAAACGCACACCAGCGCGUAUAAAAAUUCAGGCAAACCUUAACCCUAAUCCAUCAAGAGAAAUGAAUGAAAUAUAUAUAUAAAUAUAGGCUCGUAAUCAGUAGCUAGUUUGAUACCCAAAACCAUACUCCUUAAUCUCCUAGCUUUCUAUCUAGCAUUUUGUUGCUUCCAUAAAUUCCCAGUAAAAUCAUUGGUUGGGAUAAGUUCUUUGAUGAUUAAAGAAGGCAGUGGGACCUAGUUUGUCUCUCAAAGGUGUUGGAAUUGCAUCUCUCUCUCUGUCUUUCGUUUGAUAUUCCAUUUCCAGGAAAAAGGAACAUCCAAGCUUGAUUAAUUGAAGGGAACAGAGGGAUUGAGGCAAUUUUGUUGGUGUUGGACAAAUGAAUCUUGCCUGGAAUUGGUUGGAGAAGAUAAAUUUCUGUCACUACAACUCAUGCCCCUCUCCCUCUCUGUUAUCCCCCAAUCUCCUCUCCCAUUUC